Molecule: non-coding RNA, 373 nt
Organism: Mesitornis unicolor (brown roatelo)
Lineage: Eukaryota; Metazoa; Chordata; Aves; Mesitornithiformes; Mesitornithidae
Source: the annotation of a RefSeq genome assembly
CGAGCAAACAUGCUGCUGCUGGCAGCCCUCGUGGCCACAGCCGCUUGGUCCUAUGGAUAUGCACAAGAAAUUCCUGUUCAGAGCCCUAUAUCCAUCACCAAGUUCCAAAGAAGUGCACGGAUGACAUGUGAAAUUCAAUCACUAGAGGCAGGUUUUGACAGCACCGUCAUACACUGGUAUCAACAGAAGGAGGGUAAAGCUCCAGAGAGGCUUCUCUUCUUUUCAGGAGGGCAGACUGUAGUUGAAAGUGGCUUUCAAGCAAACAGGUACAUGGCUGAAAAGGUUUCUAGCCAGAACCGGUGUGUUCUUACCAUAAAGGAUGUCAUUCCGGAAGAUGCUGCUACUUACUACUGUGCCUACUGGAACCCUCACU